This 2780-nucleotide ribosomal RNA is filed under the name Salmonella enterica. RNAcentral's name for it is "partial 23S ribosomal RNA". It matches the Rfam family "Bacterial large subunit ribosomal RNA". RNAcentral also lists the same sequence under 3 other names. Lineage: Bacteria; Pseudomonadati; Pseudomonadota; Gammaproteobacteria; Enterobacterales; Enterobacteriaceae. The record is from RNAcentral.
GGUUAAGCGACUAAGCGUACACGGUGGAUGCCCUGGCAGUCAGAGGCGAUGAAGGGCGUGCUAAUCUGCGAUAAGCGCCGGUAAGGUGAUAUGAACCGUUAUAACCGGCGAUACCCGAAUGGGGAAACCCAGUGUGACUCGUCACACUAUCAUUAACUGAAUCCAUAGGUUAAUGAGGCGAACCGGGGGAACUGAAACAUCUAAGUACCCCGAGGAAAAGAAAUCAACCGAGAUUCCCCCAGUAGCGGCGAGCGAACGGGGAGGAGCCCAGAGCCUGAAUCAGCAUGUGUGUUAGUGGAAGCGUCUGGAAAGGCGCGCGAUACAGGGUGACAGCCCCGUACACAAAAGCGCAUGUGCUGUGAGCUCGAUGAGUAGGGCGGGACACGUGGUAUCCUGUCUGAAUAUGGGGGGACCAUCCUCCAAGGCUAAAUACUCCUGACUGACCGAUAGUGAACCAGUACCGUGAGGGAAAGGCGAAAAGAACCCCGGCGAGGGGAGUGAAAAAGAACCUGAAACCGUGUACGUACAAGCAGUGGGAGCACAGGUUUACCUGUGUGACUGCGUACCUUUUGUAUAAUGGGUCAGCGACUUAUAUUCUGUAGCAAGGUUAACCGAAUAGGGGAGCCGGAGGGAAACCGAGUCUUAAUUGGGCGUUAAGUUGCAGGGUAUAGACCCGAAACCCGGUGAUCUAGCCAUGGGCAGGUUGAAGGUUGGGUAACACUAACUGGAGGACCGAACCGACUAAUGUUGAAAAAUUAGCGGAUGACCUGUGGCUGGGGGUGAAAGGCCAAUCAAACCGGGAGAUAGCUGGUUCUCCCCGAAAGCUAUUUAGGUAGCGCCUCGUGAAUUCAUCUCCGGGGGUAGAGCACUGUUUCGGCUAGGGGGCCAUCCCGGCUUACCAACCCGAUGCAAACUGCGAAUACCGGAGAAUGUUAUCACGGGAGACACACGGCGGGUGCUAACGUCCGUCGUGAAGAGGGAAACAACCCAGACCGCCAGCUAAGGUCCCAAAGUCAUGGUUAAGUGGGAAACGAUGUGGGAAGGCCCAGACAGCCAGGAUGUUGGCUUAGAAGCAGCCAUCAUUUAAAGAAAGCGUAAUAGCUCACUGGUCGAGUCGGCCUGCGCGGAAGAUGUAACGGGGCUAAACCAUGCACCGAAGCUGCGGCAGCGACACUGUGUGUUGUUGGGUAGGGGAGCGUUCUGUAAGCCUGUGAAGGUGUGUCGUGAGGCAUGCUGGAGGUAUCAGAAGUGCGAAUGCUGACAUAAGUAACGAUAAAGCGGGUGAAAAGCCCGCUCGCCGGAAGACCAAGGGUUCCUGUCCAACGUUAAUCGGGGCAGGGUGAGUCGACCCCUAAGGCGAGGCCGAAAGGCGUAGUCGAUGGGAAACGGGUUAAUAUUCCCGUACUUGGUGUUACUGCGAAGGGGGGACGGAGAAGGCUAUGUUGGCCGGGCGACGGUUGUCCCGGUUUAAGCGUGUAGGUGUGUGUUCCAGGUAAAUCCGGUUCACUUUAACACUGAGGCGUGACGACGAGGCACUACGGUGCUGAAGCAACAAAUGCCCUGCUUCCAGGAAAAGCCUCUAAGCAUCAGGUAACAUCAAAUCGUACCCCAAACCGACACAGGUGGUCAGGUAGAGAAUACCAAGGCGCUUGAGAGAACUCGGGUGAAGGAACUAGGCAAAAUGGUGCCGUAACUUCGGGAGAAGGCACGCUGACACGUAGGUGAAGUGAUUUACUCAUGGAGCUGAAGUCAGUCGAAGAUACCAGCUGGCUGCAACUGUUUAUUAAAAACACAGCACUGUGCAAACACGAAAGUGGACGUAUACGGUGUGACGCCUGCCCGGUGCCGGAAGGUUAAUUGAUGGGGUCAGCGCAAGCGAAGCUCCUGAUCGAAGCCCCGGUAAACGGCGGCCGUAACUAUAACGGUCCUAAGGUAGCGAAAUUCCUUGUCGGGUAAGUUCCGACCUGCACGAAUGGCGUAAUGAUGGCCAGGCUGUCUCCACCCGAGACUCAGUGAAAUUGAACUCGCUGUGAAGAUGCAGUGUACCCGCGGCAAGACGGAAAGACCCCGUGAACCUUUACUAUAGCUUGACACUGAACAUUGAGCCUUGAUGUGUAGGAUAGGUGGGAGGCUUUGAAGUGUGGACGCCAGUCUGCAUGGAGCCGACCUUGAAAUACCACCCUUUAAUGUUUGAUGUUCUAACGUGGACCCGUUACCCGGGUUGCGGACAGUGUCUGGUGGGUAGUUUGACUGGGGCGGUCUCCUCCUAAAGAGUAACGGAGGAGCACGAAGGUUGGCUAAUCCUGGUCGGACAUCAGGAGGUUAGUGCAAUGGCAUAAGCCAGCUUGACUGCGAGCGUGACGGCGCGAGCAGGUGCGAAAGCAGGUCAUAGUGAUCCGGUGGUUCUGAAUGGAAGGGCCAUCGCUCAACGGAUAAAAGGUACUCCGGGGAUAACAGGCUGAUACCGCCCAAGAGUUCAUAUCGACGGCGGUGUUUGGCACCUCGAUGUCGGCUCAUCACAUCCUGGGGCUGAAGUAGGUCCCAAGGGUAUGGCUGUUCGCCAUUUAAAGUGGUACGCGAGCUGGGUUUAGAACGUCGUGAGACAGUUCGGUCCCUAUCUGCCGUGGGCGCUGGAGAACUGAGGGGGGCUGCUCCUAGUACGAGAGGACCGGAGUGGACGCAUCACUGGUGUUCGGGUUGUCAUGCCAAUGGCACUGCCCGGUAGCUAAAUGCGGAAGAGAUAAGUGCUGAAAGCAUCUAAGCACGAAACUUGCCCCGAG